Molecule: ribosomal RNA, 253 nt
Filed under: uncultured bacterium
Lineage: Bacteria
Description: partial 16S ribosomal RNA
Rfam family: Bacterial small subunit ribosomal RNA
Source: RNAcentral
UACGUAGGGGGCAAGCGUUGUCCGGAUUCAUUGGGCGUAAAGAGCGUGUAGGCGGCCAGGUAGGUCGGUUGUGAAAACUGGAGGCUCAACCUUCAGAGGUCGACCGAAACCAUCUGGCUAGAGUCCGGGAGAGGAGAGUGGAAUUCCUGGUGUAGCGGUGGAAUGCGCAGAUAUCAGGAAGAACACCAAUGGCGAAGGCAGCUCUCUGGGACGGUACUGACACUGAGACGCGAAAGCGUGGGGAGCGAACAGG